AUUGAACGCUGGCGGCAUGCCUUACACAUGCAAGUCGAACGGCAGCACGGGAGCAAUCCUGGUGGCGAGUGGCGAACGGGUGAGUAAUAUAUCGGAACGUGCCCAGUCGUGGGGGAUAACGUAGCGAAAGCUACGCUAAUACCGCAUACGAUCUAUGGAUGAAAGCGGGGGAUCGCAAGACCUCGCGCGAUUGGAGCGGCCGAUAUCAGAUUAGGUAGUUGGUGAGGUAAAGGCUCGCCAAGCCGACGAUCUGUAGCUGGUCUGAGAGGACGACCAGCCACACUGGGACUGAGACACGGCCCAGACUCCUACGGGAGGCAGCAGUGGGGGAAUUUUUGGGACAAUGGGCGCAAGCCUGAUCCAGCAAUGCGCGUGCAGGAUGAAGGCCU
RNAcentral lists this ribosomal RNA (389 nucleotides) under uncultured bacterium. RNAcentral's name for it is "bacterial SSU rRNA". It matches the Rfam family "Bacterial small subunit ribosomal RNA", at positions 30 to 417 of the family's 1533-position model. The record is from RNAcentral.